GACGAACGCUGGCGGCGUGCUUAACACAUGCAAGUCGAACGGGAAGGGCCUGCUUUUGUGGGGUGCUCGAGUGGCGAACGGGUGAGUAACACGUGGGUAACCUGCCCUUGACUGGGGGAUAACUUUAGGAAACCGGGGCCAAUACCGGAUAGGAGCGCCUGCUGCAUGGGGGGGGUUGGAAAGUUUCGGCGGUUGGGGAUGGACACGCGGCUUAUCAGCUUGUUGGUGGGGUAGUGGCUUACCAAGUCUUUGACGGGUAGCCGGCCUGAGAAGGUGACCGGCCACCAUACUACUACGGUACGGCGCAGCAGCCUACGGGGGGCAGCAGUAGGGAGUAUUGCACAGCAAGGGGAAGCCUGAUGCCGCAGCGCUGCGUCCGGGAUGACGACCUUCGAGGGGUCAACAACUGUCUCCUGUGACGAAGAGGGAGUGACGGUAACUGGUAAAGAAGCACCGGCUAACUACGUG
Molecule: ribosomal RNA, 468 nt
Filed under: uncultured bacterium
Lineage: Bacteria
Description: partial 16S ribosomal RNA
Rfam family: Bacterial small subunit ribosomal RNA
Source: RNAcentral